Molecule: ribosomal RNA, 567 nt
Filed under: uncultured Actinomycetes bacterium
Lineage: Bacteria; Bacillati; Actinomycetota; Actinomycetes
Description: bacterial SSU rRNA
Rfam family: Bacterial small subunit ribosomal RNA
Source: RNAcentral
CCUACGGGAGGCAGCAGUGGGGAAUAUUGGGCAAUGGGCGCAAGCCUGACCCAGCGACGCCGCGUGAGGGAUGAAGGCCUUCGGGUUGUAAACCUCUUUCAGUAGGGAAGAAGCGAAAGUGACGGUACCUAAAGAAGAAGCACCGGCUAACUAUGUGCCAGCAGCCGCGGUAAUACAUAGGGUGCAAGCGUUGUCCGGAAUUAUUGGGCGUAAAGAGCUCGUAGGUCGUUUGCCGCGUCGAUUGUGAAAAUCUGAGGCUCAACCUCAGACCUGCAGUCGAUACGGGCAAACUAGAGUGUGGUAGGGGAGACUGGAAUUCCUGGUGUAGCGGUGGAAUGCGCAGAUAUCAGGAGGAACACCAAUGGCGAAGGCAGGUCUCUGGGCCAUAACUGACACUGAGGAGCGAAAGCGCGGGGAGCGAACAGGAUUAGAUACCCUGGUAGUCCGCGCCGUAAACGAUGGGCACUAGCUGUGAGAGCCUUCCACGGUUCUCGCGACGCAGCAAACGCAUUAAGUGCCCCGCCUGGGGAGUACGAUCGCAAGAUUAAAACUCAAAGGAAUUGACGG